This 270-nucleotide unclassified non-coding RNA is filed under the name Rickettsia sibirica subsp. mongolitimonae. RNAcentral describes it as "5S-23S ribosomal RNA intergenic spacer". The record is from RNAcentral. Lineage: Bacteria; Pseudomonadati; Pseudomonadota; Alphaproteobacteria; Rickettsiales; Rickettsiaceae.
CUGUGAGAUUACAUGUGCAUAUAGUGUUAAUGCUAUAAGAGUGUAGUAUCUACUCACAAAGUUAUCAGGUUAAAUAGUUUUAUCAACUAAUAAAAAUGUUAUUGCAUAACUAAUGUUAUACUGUAGCCCUGCCACGAUAUCCAGCGAAAAUUAUUUUGCUGAGUAUCGUAGUAAAAGUUAAGAUAUGAUGUUGAGAAUUUUUUUGAGUCGUGCAACAACAUUAACAGCAAACUAUAAUACAAAUCUAUCUUUUUAAAAGUUUGUAUUGCU